Molecule: long non-coding RNA, 1533 nt
Organism: Solanum lycopersicum (tomato)
Lineage: Eukaryota; Viridiplantae; Streptophyta; Magnoliopsida; Solanales; Solanaceae
Source: RefSeq, a predicted model, not a curated record
AAGAGGUUCAAAACUAGCCACUUGACUACAAUACGAAGGAACAUUCAUGACUCGAACGAAAAGAAUGACAAAUGAAGCGACUCUAAGAGUUUGUAAAGAACCGACUACACCAUAGCAGUUUAAUAAGUCUUUUUUCACGCGUUGCGAGGCUUACCAGAUACUAUCAAUUCAUACUCCCUAAUUAAUGAAAUCUUCUCCAAGGUCACCUGAGUUCUCUGUGAAAACAUAUAGCAAGGAGUGAAAUGCUAGCUCAGUACAAUGAGUAAUAAUACUUAACCAUAACUUGCGGCUUGCCGCCCUUUGCUGCAGCUUGAAACCCUUCGCAUCUUUGGACCCUUUAGCCCGCUAUUCCCCUUUUUUUUAAAACGUGUUGGUCAUUAAAACAAACCCACAAUCUGCCUCUUCUUUUAAAAAAAAAUCAGAAGACAAAAAUGACCUUAUUUCAAUGUAUGGUAUUACACUGACACAUCUUAACUCUUAUUUCAUCUCUAAUUAUUGAAGUCGUUCCAUAUCCACACAUCUUCUAUGGUUAUCAAGUGUGGAGAUCAGGGAACUUUUAAUAGUAAGCCGAAGUCAUCAGUAGCCAUGGUUAGGAUUCUUUAGGACCAAGAAUCUAAACCUUUCAAAUUUGUGACAGUCUUACUCAUUUGAGGACUGUAGGUCCAAAUUUGAAGAGACACAGGCAUGUCUGCUCCGAGUUGUCUGCUACAGUCUCUUAAGAAAGGUGAUAUCAUCUAUUUCAGCAAAAACUGGGAUUUUAAACACAUUAGCAACUGACCAGUCUACUAAUGAUCAUCUACCAAGAGAUGAGCAUGUUUCGAUUGUUGCAGUUAAAGAGUGAAUUUGUAACCAGCAGCUAGUAGAGGAGAAAUCAAUUAAUGCAGAAAUUGCACAUGAACUAAACAAAUCCAACUCUAUUAGCUGCUUUAAGGACAGUGAUGAAGGAAAGAUCAGAGCAAGAAGGAAGAAAUUUUGGGAGAAGGCUGUUGAUAUUGAUGAACUUUACGGUCCGGGUAUGAGAGGGCAGAUGCAGGAUGACUUUAACCACAGCAAUUAGGCCAAUUCUUAUGCAGAACAUUUUUAAAAUAGUAGGUUUGUAGAGUCAAUUUUAGAUUUUACUGGGAGCUAGCUUCUACCUGUGGCUGGUCCUUCAUUGACUCAUCAGACGAGAUACGAUCCUGCUCAUGCAUUAAGUCCUAUAGUUGAAGAUGUCAGGUAUGGCUUGUUUCGGAGACUUGGGUUAUCUGGACCGGAGGCAUCUGUAUUCAAUUUGUUACACUCAAACUUCAGGUGUCACAAGAAUGAGAUUUUCGUUGCCACUGCAUAUAAGUUGUAGUUUUGUAUUAGCGAUCUCUGUGUUUACUGUUCUUUUAGUACUUUCUGGUGUAACUCUUGAGAGGCCGUUGUGGUAGAAUGGCGUUGGGGGUUGCUUUCGACCCCUGACACAUUUAUGUUGAAACAACUCUACUCAACUUAACUGAGGUUGAGCAGUCCAGAAGCUUCUCUAAAUGGAUUUCAGUUUGAAUAGUUCAA